UGGGGAAUUUUGGACAAUGGGCGAAAGCCUGAUCCAGCAAUGCCGCGUGUGUGAAGAAGGCCUUCGGGUUGUAAAGCACUUUUGUCCGGAAAGAAAUCCUUGGCUCUAAUACAGUCGGGGGAUGACGGUACCGGAAGAAUAAGCACCGGCUAACUACGUGCCAGCAGCCGCGGUAAUACGUAGGGUGCAAGCGUUAAUCGGAAUUACUGGGCGUAAAGCGUGCGCAGGCGGUUUGCUAAGACCGAUGUGAAAUCCCCGGGCUCAACCUGGGAACUGCAUUGGUGACUGGCAGGCUAGAGUAUGGCAGAGGGGGGUAGAAUUCCACGUGUAGCAGUGAAAUGCGUAGAGAUGUGGAGGAAUACCGAUGGCGAAGGCAGCCCCCUGGGCCAAUACUGACGCUCAUGCACGAAAGCGUGGGGAGCAAACAGGAUUAGAUACCCUGGUAGUCCACGCCCUAAACGAUGUCAACUAGUUGUUGGGGAUUCAUUCCCCUAGUAACGUAGCUAACGCGUGAAGUUGACCGCCUGGGGAGUACGGUCGCAAGAUUAAAACUCAAAGGAAUUGACGGGGUCAUAGCUGUUUCCU
RNAcentral lists this ribosomal RNA (585 nucleotides) under uncultured bacterium. RNAcentral describes it as "partial 16S ribosomal RNA". It matches the Rfam family "Bacterial small subunit ribosomal RNA", at positions 355 to 1375 of the family's 1533-position model. The record is from RNAcentral.